This 116-nucleotide ribosomal RNA is filed under the name Colletotrichum higginsianum. Lineage: Eukaryota; Fungi; Ascomycota; Sordariomycetes; Glomerellales; Glomerellaceae. RNAcentral also lists the same sequence under 2 other names. The record is from RNAcentral.
ACGACCAUACCCACUGGAGAACUCGGGAUCCCGUCCGCUCUCCCAUAGAUAAGCCAGUGAGGGCCGGAUUAGUAGUUGGGUCGGUGACGACCAGCGAAUACCUGGUGUUGUAUGUC